CCUACGGGAGGCAGCAGUGAGGAAUAUUGGUCAAUGGACGAGAGUCUGAACCAGCAAAGUAGCGUGAAGGAUGACUGCUUUAUGGGUUGUAACUUUUUUUUAUAUGGGAAUAAAAUGUUCCAUGCGUGGUAUUUUGUAUGUACCAUAUGAAUAAGGAUCGGCUAACUCCGUGCCAGCAGCCGCGGUAAUACGCAGGAUCCGAGCGUUAACCGGAUUUAUUGGGUUUAAAGGGAGCGUAGGUGGAUUGUUAAGUCAGUUGUGAAAGUUUGCGGCUCAACCGUAAAAUUGCAUUUGAAACUGGCAGUCUUGAGUACAGUAGAGGUGAGCGGAAUUCGUGGUGUAGCGGUGAAAUGCGUAGAUAUAACGAAGAACUCCGAUGGCGAAGGCAGCUCACUGGACUGCAACUGACACUGAGGCUCGAAAGUGUGGGUAUCAAACAGGAUUAGAUACCCUAGUAGUC
This 460-nucleotide ribosomal RNA is filed under the name uncultured bacterium. Its description in RNAcentral is "partial 16S ribosomal RNA". It matches the Rfam family "Bacterial small subunit ribosomal RNA", at positions 338 to 795 of the family's 1533-position model. The record is from RNAcentral.